GGUAGGAUGGCUGAGAACAGGCGGCGGAUUGUAGCUCCGAUCACAGAGGUUUAAGCCCUCUUCGUACCA
Molecule: transfer RNA, 69 nt
Filed under: Jenkinsia sp. CL54
Lineage: Eukaryota; Metazoa; Chordata; Actinopteri; Clupeiformes; Clupeidae
Description: tRNA-Tyr
Rfam family: tRNA
About the family: Transfer RNA (tRNA) molecules are approximately 80 nucleotides in length. Their secondary structure includes four short double-helical elements and three loops (D, anti-codon, and T loops).
Source: RNAcentral